UACGGGGGGAGCAAGCGUUGUUCGGAUUUACUGGGCGUAAAGGGCGCGUAGGCGGUCAGCACAAGUCAGUUGUGAAAUCUCCGGGCUUAACUCGGAAAGGUCAACUGAUACUGUGCGACUAGAGUGCAGAAGGGGCAACUGGAAUUCUCGGUGUAGCGGUGAAAUGCGUAGAUAUCAGGAAGAACACCCGUGGCUAAGGCGGCUCUCUAGUACGGUACUGACGCUGAGACGCGAAAGCGUAGGGAGCGAACAGG
RNAcentral lists this ribosomal RNA (254 nucleotides) under uncultured bacterium. RNAcentral describes it as "partial 16S ribosomal RNA". It matches the Rfam family "Bacterial small subunit ribosomal RNA", at positions 524 to 776 of the family's 1533-position model. The record is from RNAcentral.